Molecule: ribosomal RNA, 117 nt
Filed under: Anolis carolinensis (green anole)
Lineage: Eukaryota; Metazoa; Chordata; Lepidosauria; Squamata; Anolidae
Source: RNAcentral
GACUGUGUAAAAUAUCCUGGUAGCACCAGAGCUAAUCUGUCCUUGGGAGCUAAGCAGGGUCAGUCCUGGUUAAUACUUGGAUAGGAAGCCCCUAUGGAGUCCUGGGUGUUGUAGGCU